Molecule: ribosomal RNA, 235 nt
Filed under: uncultured bacterium
Lineage: Bacteria
Description: partial 16S ribosomal RNA
Rfam family: Bacterial small subunit ribosomal RNA
Source: RNAcentral
UGGCGGACGGGUGAGUAAUGUCUGGGAAACUGCCCGAUGAGGGGGGAUAACUACUGGAAACGGUAGCUAAUACCGCAUAACGUCGCAAGACCAAAGAGGGGGACCUUCGGGCCUCUUGCCAUCGGAUGUGCCCAGAUGGGAUUAGCUAGUAGGUGGGGUAAAGGCUCACCUAGGCGACGAUCCCUAGCUGGUCUGAGAGGAUGACCAGCCACACUGGAACUGAGACACGGUCCAG